CACUUUCACUUUCACUUUCGCAGCUGCGCCAAGGAAAAGAAAAGAUGUCUCGAUUCCCAUGUAUGCACUACUCGAUCAUAUCCCAAACCAAAACACUCUCUUGAUUUCUUCCUGAAACCACCACACACACACGUCCAUCAGCAGCUCGCAAGCUCAGCUGGUACGCAGGUACACCAUGCGGCGGCUUAGCGACGCAGGGGAGGCCACGCCACUGGUCACCCCCGCGGCGGCCGCGGCGGCGGGCGGCACCUUGGCGUCGCCGGCCGCUGCGGGGAGCAACGCCAACUUCGACGCCAACAUGGUGAUCAUCCUCGCAGCGCUGCUCUGCGUUCUCAUAUUCGCGCUCGGGCUCAACUCCGUCAUCCGCUGCGUGCUCCACUGCGGCCGCCGGCUCGCGCCGUCGUCGAGCCUCGCGGCCAGCGCCACCGCGGCGAGGACGACGACAUCCGUUCACGUGCAGGCGGGGCUCAAGAGGAAGGCGCUGAGGAAGAUACCCGUGGAGGUGUACGGCGGGGCCAAGUCGUCCGGUUGCGCCCUCCCGGCCACGGCCACGGAGUGCGCCAUCUGCCUCGGCGAGUUCGCCGACGGCGAGAAGGUGCGCGUGCUCCCUCGGUGCCACCACGGAUUCCACGUCCGCUGCAUCGACAUGUGGCUCGCCACGCACACUUCCUGCCCCAACUGCCGGGCCUCGCUCGCUGAGGACGGCGCCGCCGCUGCCAACGGCGGAGGGAGAUAGCGCCGGACAGGGUACGGGUUUGUAAUUUCUUCUAGAUAGGGAACUAAAGUGAAACGUUGCACCACUGCUUUGCUUCCUCACUAGUGUGUCUUUGGUCUGAUUUUGGUUUUCGUAUGGGUGGUACAUGUAAAUUAGUAUUUACAUUUUGCGAUGAUAGAAGGGGCUUGAUGCAAAUGUUCCCCGUGUCCUUGUCAUUUUGGGUUGGAGCAUACGAUUUUUUUUUUGUCAUGAUUCUCCCAUUUUAUAACUUUCUUUAAAGAUGAUUCGAUGUUCCAUUUUUUGUGUUCUAAGAUGAGUAGUAUUGCGCUGUUAUUUUGGUUACCCAACAGCCAAGACUUUCCCAAUGGACAUGUCUUUUUCUCAAAUAAUGUUCUCUAGUGAUAUUUUCCUAUUUACUAUCUGCACGUUGCUGAACAGAUAUUAGUAGCUUUACUCUUAUCUAUAAUAAUGAUUAUUUUUUGUUUUCUGACAAAAAGGAAAUAAUGAGUUUCUGUUCACUAAUAACAUAUAAUAGUGUGUUUUUCACAUAAUAAUAAUUUAUAUUGUCUUUGUUAACUUGUGUUCAAAGCAUGGUAUUUCUAGUGAACGAAAGAAAAUAAGCAAAGAAUAGUAGUAAAAUAUAAGUAUACCUUCUCUAGCUGUCAUCGCCAAUAAGAAUAUCUUUUCUGGCCGGUCACCACUGAUAGGCUUAGACUAACUCCAACAGAUCUAGUAGAAACAUUUCCGUAAAAGUGCUUUUAUGGAAUGACCACAUAAUUUGCCGGAAUUGUCAGAUAGUUAUUUUUCUCAGUUCCCAUAAAACUUCUUUCCCUAAAAUCUUGUUUUCCUUUUUUCCCCACUAAACAUCGUUGGGACUGCAAGCCGGUGACACAACGUUUGGAAGUGUGGCAACAGACGCCGGAGCAGGCUGACCGGUGAGGUGGUGCAGCUUGGGAGGCGCGUCGGCGGCCGUCUCGAUGAGGCGGGGAAGCGAAGGCCGGCAUGGUGGAGCGGAGCACCGGAGGCGGCCGUCCUAGCGGUGGCAUGGUGACACAGCGGAGAGGAGCGACGGAGGGGCAACAUGGCGGUGCAGGGCACACAUCCUAAACUUUCAUGCGGGUUUUUACCCGUCAAAUUAUACAGAAAGGGCUAUCUUUUCGUGGUUAAGGGAAGGUGGGAGUAUUUUUACGGGAUCCUUUAAAAUAUUUCUAGGUUUCUGGGAUCUAUUGGAGUUGCUCUUAGUGUGUUUGUCAGCCGUACAUCUGACUAUUCAUAAGGGUGAUGCCAACAGAUGAUCUAGUUUCAGCGAAAACAAUCACCACUCGCGGGUCAAAAAUUAAAUAUUGGCCUGUGGUGGCAUAGUUAUCAUGACUGUCGAACGGGAGCUAAUUGUUCUGUCUGUUAGUACUGUGAUGAAGGUACAAAUAUUCUACCAACAGUGGAAGAACAUCCGUGUAAACAAGCCCACAUUUUGCACCCAAGUAUAAAAACUCUU
This 2210-nucleotide ribosomal RNA is filed under the name Triticum aestivum (bread wheat). RNAcentral describes it as "partial small subunit ribosomal RNA". The record is from RNAcentral. Lineage: Eukaryota; Viridiplantae; Streptophyta; Magnoliopsida; Poales; Poaceae.